GACGAACGCUGGCGGCGUGCCUAACACAUGCAAGUCGAACGGAGACAAUUAGUUCGCUGAUUGUCUUAGUGGCGGACGGGUGAGUAACGCGUGAGCAAUCUGCCCUUCGGAGGGGGACAACAGCUGGAAACGGCUGCUAAUACCGCAUGAUAUAUAUUGGUGGCAUCACCGAUAUAUCAAAGAUUUAUCGCCGAGGGAUGAGCUCGCGUCUGAUUAGCUAGUUGGUGAGGUAAUGGCUCACCAAGGCUGCGAUCAGUAGCCGGACUGAGAGGUUGAACGGCCACAUUGGGACUGAGAUACGGCCCAGACUCCUACGGGAGGCAGCAGUGGGGAAUAUUGGGCAAUGGGCGCAAGCCUGACCCAGCAACGCCGCGUGAAGGAAGAAGGCUUUCGGGUUGUAAACUUCUUUGACCAGGGACGAAACAAAUGACGGUACCUGGAAAACAAGCCACGGCUAACUACGUG
RNAcentral lists this ribosomal RNA (465 nucleotides) under uncultured organism. Its description in RNAcentral is "bacterial SSU rRNA". It matches the Rfam family "Bacterial small subunit ribosomal RNA", at positions 28 to 507 of the family's 1533-position model. The record is from RNAcentral.